AGCGUACACGGUGGAUGCCCUGGCAGUCAGAGGCGAUGAAGGACGUGCUAAUCUGCGAUAAGCGUCGGUGAGGUGAUAUGAACCGUUAUAACCGGCGAUUUCCGAAUGGGGAAACCCAGUGUGUUUCGACACACUAUCAUUAACUGAAUCCAUAGGUUAAUGAGGCGAACCGGGGGAACUGAAACAUCUAAGUACCCCGAGGAAAAGAAAUCAACCGAGAUUCCCCCAGUAGCGGCGAGCGAACGGGGAGGAGCCCAGAGCCUGAAUCAGUGUGUGUGUUAGUGGAAGCGUCUGGAAAGGCGCGCGAUACAGGGUGACAGCCCCGUACACAAAAAUGCACAUACUGUGAGCUCGAUGAGUAGGGCGGGACACGUGGUAUCCUGUCUGAAUAUGGGGGGACCAUCCUCCAAGGCUAAAUACUCCUGACUGACCGAUAGUGAACCAGUACCGUGAGGGAAAGGCGAAAAGAACCCCGGCGAGGGGAGUGAAAAAGAACCUGAAACCGUGUACGUACAAGCAGUGGGAGCCUCUUAAUGGGGUGACUGCGUACCUUUUGUAUAAUGGGUCAGCGACUUAUAUUCUGUAGCAAGGUUAACCGAAUAGGGGAGCCGAAGGGAAACCGAGUCUUAACUGGGCGUUAAGUUGCAGGGUAUAGACCCGAAACCCGGUGAUCUAGCCAUGGGCAGGUUGAAGGUUGGGUAACACUAACUGGAGGACCGAACCGACUAAUGUUGAAAAAUUAGCGGAUGACUUGUGGCUGGGGGUGAAAGGCCAAUCAAACCGGGAGAUAGCUGGUUCUCCCCGAAAGCUAUUUAGGUAGCGCCUCGUGAAUUCAUCUCCGGGGGUAGAGCACUGUUUCGGCAAGGGGGUCAUCCCGACUUACCAACCCGAUGCAAACUGCGAAUACCGGAGAAUGUUAUCACGGGAGACACACGGCGGGUGCUAACGUCCGUCGUGAAGAGGGAAACAACCCAGACCGCCAGCUAAGGUCCCAAAGUCAUGGUUAAGUGGGAAACGAUGUGGGAAGGCCCAGACAGCCAGGAUGUUGGCUUAGAAGCAGCCAUCAUUUAAAGAAAGCGUAAUAGCUCACUGGUCGAGUCGGCCUGCGCGGAAGAUGUAACGGGGCUAAACCAUGCACCGAAGCUGCGGCAGCGACACUAUGUGUUGUUGGGUAGGGGAGCGUUCUGUAAGCCUGUGAAGGUGUACUGUGAGGUAUGCUGGAGGUAUCAGAAGUGCGAAUGCUGACAUAAGUAACGAUAAAGCGGGUGAAAAGCCCGCUCGCCGGAAGACCAAGGGUUCCUGUCCAACGUUAAUCGGGGCAGGGUGAGUCGACCCCUAAGGCGAGGCCGAAAGGCGUAGUCGAUGGGAAACAGGUUAAUAUUCCUGUACUUGGUGUUACUGCGAAGGGGGGACGGAGAAGGCUAUGUUGGCCGGGCGACGGUUGUCCCGGUUUAAGCGUGUAGGCUGGUUUUCCAGGCAAAUCCGGAAAAUCAAGGCUGAGGCGUGAUGACGAGGCACUACGGUGCUGAAGCGACAAAUGCCCUGCUUCCAGGAAAAGCCUCUAAGCAUCAGGUAACAUCAAAUCGUACCCCAAACCGACACAGGUGGUCAGGUAGAGAAUACCAAGGCGCUUGAGAGAACUCGGGUGAAGGAACUAGGCAAAAUGGUGCCGUAACUUCGGGAGAAGGCACGCUGAUAUGUAGGUGAAGCGACUUGCUCGUGGAGCUGAAAUCAGUCGAAGAUACCAGCUGGCUGCAACUGUUUAUUAAAAACACAGCACUGUGCAAACACGAAAGUGGACGUAUACGGUGUGACGCCUGCCCGGUGCCGGAAGGUUAAUUGAUGGGGUUAGCGGUAACGCGAAGCUCUUGAUCGAAGCCCCGGUAAACGGCGGCCGUAACUAUAACGGUCCUAAGGUAGCGAAAUUCCUUGUCGGGUAAGUUCCGACCUGCACGAAUGGCGUAAUGAUGGCCAGGCUGUCUCCACCCGAGACUCAGUGAAAUUGAACUCGCUGUGAAGAUGCAGUGUACCCGCGGCAAGACGGAAAGACCCCGUGAACCUUUACUAUAGCUUGACACUGAACAUUGAGCCUUGAUGUGUAGGAUAGGUGGGAGGCUUUGAAGUGUGGACGCCAGUCUGCAUGGAGCCGACCUUGAAAUACCACCCUUUAAUGUUUGAUGUUCUAACGUGGGCCCCUUACCGGGGUUGCGGACAGUGUCUGGUGGGUAGUUUGACUGGGGCGGUCUCCUCCUAAAGAGUAACGGAGGAGCACGAAGGUUGGCUAAUCCUGGUCGGACAUCAGGAGGUUAGUGCAAUGGCAUAAGCCAGCUUGACUGCGAGCGUGACGGCGCGAGCAGGUGCGAAAGCAGGUCAUAGUGAUCCGGUGGUUCUGAAUGGAAGGGCCAUCGCUCAACGGAUAAAAGGUACUCCGGGGAUAACAGGCUGAUACCGCCCAAGAGUUCAUAUCGACGGCGGUGUUUGGCACCUCGAUGUCGGCUCAUCACAUCCUGGGGCUGAAGUAGGUCCCAAGGGUAUGGCUGUUCGCCAUUUAAAGUGGUACGCGAGCUGGGUUUAGAACGUCGUGAGACAGUUCGGUCCCUAUCUGCCGUGGGCGCUGGAGAACUGAGGGGGGCUGCUCCUAGUACGAGAGGACCGGAGUGGACGCAUCACUGGUGUUCGGGUUGUCAUGCCAAUGGCACUGCCCGGUAGCUAAAUGCGGAAGAGAUAAGUGCUGAAAGCAUCUAAGCACGAAACUUGCCCCGAGAUGAGUUCUCCCUGACUCCUUGA
RNAcentral lists this ribosomal RNA (2787 nucleotides) under Escherichia coli. Its description in RNAcentral is "bacterial LSU rRNA". It matches the Rfam family "Bacterial large subunit ribosomal RNA". Lineage: Bacteria; Pseudomonadati; Pseudomonadota; Gammaproteobacteria; Enterobacterales; Enterobacteriaceae. RNAcentral also lists the same sequence under 2 other names. The record is from RNAcentral.